GACAGAGGGUGCAAACGUUGUUCGGAAUUACUGGCGUAAAGCGCGUGUAGGCGGUCGGGCAAGUCGGAUGUGAAAGCCCAGGGCUCAACCCUGGAAGUGCACUCGAUACUGCUCGGCUAGAGUCCCGGAGAAGAUGGUGGAACUCUCGGUGUAGAGGUGAAAUUCGUAGAUAUCGAGAAGAACACCGGUGGCGAAGGCGGCCAUCUGGACGGUGACUGACGCUGAGACGCGAAAGCGUGGGGAGCAAACAGG
RNAcentral lists this ribosomal RNA (252 nucleotides) under uncultured bacterium. Its description in RNAcentral is "partial 16S ribosomal RNA". It matches the Rfam family "Bacterial small subunit ribosomal RNA", at positions 524 to 776 of the family's 1533-position model. The record is from RNAcentral.